Molecule: ribosomal RNA, 753 nt
Filed under: uncultured Pseudomonas sp.
Lineage: Bacteria; Pseudomonadati; Pseudomonadota; Gammaproteobacteria; Pseudomonadales; Pseudomonadaceae
Description: bacterial SSU rRNA
Rfam family: Bacterial small subunit ribosomal RNA
Source: RNAcentral
AUUGAACGCUGGCGGCAGGCCUAACACAUGCAAGUCGAGCGGAUGGAGGGAGCUUGCUCCUGGAUUCAGCGGCGGACGGGUGAGUAAUGCCUAGGAAUCUGCCUGGUAGUGGGGGAUAACGUCCGGAAACGGGCGCUAAUACCGCAUACGUCCUGAGGGAGAAAGUGGGGGAUCUUCGGACCUCACGCUAUCAGAUGAGCCUAGGUCGGAUUAGCUAGUUGGUGGGGUAAAGGCCUACCAAGGCGACGAUCCGUAACUGGUCUGAGAGGAUGAUCAGUCACACUGGAACUGAGACACGGUCCAGACUCCUACGGGAGGCAGCAGUGGGGAAUAUUGGACAAUGGGCGAAAGCCUGAUCCAGCCAUGCCGCGUGUGUGAAGAAGGUCUUCGGAUUGUAAAGCACUUUAAGUUGGGAGGAAGGGCAGUAAGUUAAUACCUUGCUGUUUUGACGUUACCAACAGAAUAAGCACCGGCUAACUUCGUGCCAGCAGCCGCGGUAAUACGAAGGGUGCAAGCGUUAAUCGGAAUUACUGGGCGUAAAGCGCGCGUAGGUGGUUCAGCAAGUUGGAUGUGAAAUCCCCGGGCUCAACCUGGGAACUGCAUCCAAAACUACUGAGCUAGAGUACGGUAGAGGGUGGUGGAAUUUCCUGUGUAGCGGUGAAAUGCGUAGAUAUAGGAAGGAACACCAGUGGCGAAGGCGACCACCUGGACUGAUACUGACACUGAGGUGCGAAAGCGUGGGGAGCAAACAGG